CGUAGGGUGCGAGCGUUAAUCGGAAUUACUGGGCGUAAAGUGUGCGCAGGUGGCCGCGCAAGUCGAGUGUGAAAUCCCCGAGCUUAACUUGGGAAUUGCGCUCGAAACUACGUGGCUCGAGUGUGGCAGAGGAAGGUGGAAUUCCACGUGUAGCGGUGAAAUGCGUAGAGAUGUGGAGGAACACCGAUGGCGAAGGCAGCCUUCUGGGCCAACACUGACGCUCAUGCACGAAAGCGUGGGGAGCAAACAGGAUUAGAUACCCUGGUAGUCCACGCCCUAAACGAUGAUGACUAGUUGUUGGGGAGUUAAAUCCCUUAGUAACGCAGCUAACGCGUGAAGUCAUCCGCCUGGGGAGUACGGUCGCAAGAUUA
This 371-nucleotide ribosomal RNA is filed under the name uncultured organism. RNAcentral's name for it is "bacterial SSU rRNA". It matches the Rfam family "Bacterial small subunit ribosomal RNA", at positions 526 to 896 of the family's 1533-position model. The record is from RNAcentral.